GAUCAGCAGAGAUGGCAGAAGCUUCUGUGGCUGUUGAGUUACAGGUGUGUCUACAGGGAGGAGAUUCAUACGUACAUUGGUGGUUAUUGCCAACAAGACCAGUUUGCAUAGCAGGGUUCCUCCGAAGAGGAAGAUGCAAGACACAACAGAGAAGAUAUCCCUGGAACCAUCCAAACAGAUGAGGCAAGUGCUGAAGAAAAUGCUGCAGGGAGGACAAGAAAUCAAAGGAGAGCCUGCGGAGAAAGAAGCAUUUCCUGGAGGAAGCAGUGGUUCCGUGCCAGCAUCUGUUGAAGGAGGGGAGGCGAUGCCAGGCACAGGCC
Long non-coding RNA from Passer domesticus (house sparrow), 320 nucleotides. RefSeq lists it as uncharacterized. The transcript has 3 exons. The record is from RefSeq and is a predicted model, not a curated record. Lineage: Eukaryota; Metazoa; Chordata; Aves; Passeriformes; Passeridae.